CCUACGGGAGGCAGCAGUGAGGAAUAUUGGUCAAUGGACGGAAGUCUGAACCAGCCAAGCCGCGUGCAGGAAGACGGCCCUAUGAGUUGUAAACUGCUUUUGUCCAAGGGUAAACCUGAAUACGUGUAUUCAGCUGAAAGUACUGUACGAAUAAGGAUCGGCUAACUCCGUGCCAGCCGCCGCGGUAAUACGGAGGAUCCAAGCGUUAUCCGGAUUUAUUGGGUUUAAAGGGUGCGUAGGCGGAUUGAUAAGUUAGAGGUGAAAUGUUCGAGCUUAACUCGGGAACUGCCUCUAAUACUGUUGAUCUAGAGAGUAGAUGCGGUAGGCGGAAUGUAUGGUGUCGCGGUGAAAUGCUUAGAGAUCAUACAGAACACCGAUUGCGAAGGCAGCUGACCAAUCUAUAUCUGACGUUGAGGCACGAAAGCGUGGGGAGCAAACAGGAUUAGAUACCCUAGUAGUC
This 460-nucleotide ribosomal RNA is filed under the name uncultured bacterium. RNAcentral's name for it is "partial 16S ribosomal RNA". It matches the Rfam family "Bacterial small subunit ribosomal RNA", at positions 338 to 795 of the family's 1533-position model. The record is from RNAcentral.